GUGCGCGCCGCAUUUGUGUGACUGUCAUUUGCCGUGUGAUUUAGCAAAGUGAAGACGUGCGCAAGACACAAAGGUGAAAAACUAUUUCAGUGAAUUGGACAUAUGUAUGUGCGACUCUUCCGUACCUCGAGGCCUCUUUGCUCUUCGCUAGACCAGACAGCUAAGGGAA
This is a non-coding RNA of Drosophila suzukii, 169 nucleotides long. NCBI's taxonomy places the organism in Eukaryota, Metazoa, Arthropoda, Insecta, Diptera, Drosophilidae. The record is from RefSeq and is a predicted model, not a curated record.